Molecule: ribosomal RNA, 538 nt
Filed under: Fusarium sp. Fungi82
Lineage: Eukaryota; Fungi; Ascomycota; Sordariomycetes; Hypocreales; Nectriaceae
Description: eukaryotic LSU rRNA
Rfam family: Eukaryotic large subunit ribosomal RNA
Source: RNAcentral
AAAAGAAACCAACAGGGAUUGCCCCAGUAACGGCGAGUGAAGCGGCAACAGCUCAAAUUUGAAAUCUGGCUCUCGGGCCCGAGUUGUAAUUUGUAGAGGAUGCUUUUGGGUGAGGUGCCUUCCGAGUUCCCUGGAACGGGACGCCAUAGAGGGUGAGAGCCCCGUCUGUGGUUGGACACCGAUCCUCUGUAAAGCUCCUUCGACGAGUCGAGUAGUUUGGGAAUGCUGCUCUAAAUGGGAGGUAUAUGUCUUCUAAAGCUAAAUACCGGCCAGAGACCGAUAGCGCACAAGUAGAGUGAUCGAAAGAUGAAAAGAACUUUGAAAAGAGAGUUAAACAGUACGUGAAAUUGUUGAAAGGGAAGCGCUUGUGACCAGACUUGGGCUUGGUUGAUCAUCCGGGGUUCUCCCCGGUGCACUCUUCCGGCCCAGGCCAGCAUCAGUUCGCCCUGGGGGACAAAGGCUUCGGGAAUGUGGCUCUCUCCGGGAGUGUUAUAGCCCGUUGCGUAAUACCCUGUGGCGGACUGAGGUUCGCGCAUUC